This is a long non-coding RNA of Brachypodium distachyon (stiff brome), 3038 nucleotides long. RefSeq lists it as uncharacterized. Lineage: Eukaryota; Viridiplantae; Streptophyta; Magnoliopsida; Poales; Poaceae. The transcript is spliced from 4 exons. The record is from RefSeq and is a predicted model, not a curated record.
GCGAAGCAUGAUUCAGAGGUUUGACGAUGAUUUUUUUUUGUAUGUUUAUUAUUAACUGGAGGCCUUUUUGGAAUAGACAAGUCAAAAAUAUUUCGGAAUUUUCGGAAACAUUUAUAGAGUCCAGACCACAUGCAUAUCUUUUUUCUUUAUCUGCACUAACAUUUUUCAAGAAUGCUAUCUACACUAACAUUGAACUUGAAAAUCCCAAUAGUACUCCUACCUUUUUUGAAGUCCUCACUUUAUUAUUCACAGUAUAUUCUGAAAAGAGAUCAAAUUGAUGUUCUUUGAGCAAGCAGAAGCAUUUGCUUUCCGCCUGAGUGAGAGAUCACCGGGGAGCGAGCAGCUCGGGGGAGGAUAGCAGAAUUUUACUCAUGACGCCGUAGACGAGCCAUGCUUCCGUCCUUGCUCAAGCUGUCUCUCUCUCCUCGGGAGAUCACCGGCGGUGGCCUGACCGCGGCCAGGAUGACGACGGCGACGCCAUCAACGGCACCCCAACCUGCAGCCCACUAACCGCUAUCCAUAUCAACAGUACACUAGUAGAGUGCGCGCGACCUGUUCGACGAAUUGCCUGGCAGAAGAGCACUCGUGACCUUUGCCGUACCAUCAUGCUCGCAUGCGUGCGCUGAUCCCUUUAUUCUCUGCCACUUCUUUCUUUGUAAAAAGGAACACGAGAGUCAUGAAAAGAAGACUGUUGCUGUCCAGUUUGUGGAGCCGGUACAUAUCAGGCAGCGGUGUUGCUGCAUUUGUUUCAUUGUGAACACCUGAAGCCACCAUCCAUUCUCCUCCUUCGUCGGACAUCAGCAACUUCUUCAGUCCAUCUUCUCAUGAUCUCAUCGCAAGACUGCAAGAGACGUAAGGAAUGGCAGCGGUAAGCGCUGCAACGGGGUGAUGAGCUCUCUCCUGAGUAAGCUCUCCGCCUUUCUUGGCGACCAGUACAAGCUUCUCAAAGGAGUUCGCAAGGAGGUCGGAUUCCUUAAGCGUGGCUCAGUAGUCAGUACCAUGAACGCCUUGCUGGUCACACUGGGGAGCAUGGACAAGCUUGAUCCCCUUGCCAAGGACUGGAGGAACAAGGUGAGGGAUCUGAGCUACGACAUUGAGGACUGCAUUGACCUCUUCAUGCAACGCUUGGCUCGUGGUGAUGCCAAAACCAGAUUCAUGAGGAAUACUGUGCGUCAGCUCAAGACAGGAAUACUGUGCGUCAGCUCAAGGCGCUAUGGGCACGCCAUGAGAUUGCCAGCUAAAUCAAGGAUCUCAAGGCUCGCGUCGAAGAGGAGAGCAAGCGGCGCGAGAGGUAUAAGCUAGACAAUAUAACCUCAAACCAGGGACCAUAGAUAUGGACCCUCGGCUGCCUCUGCUCUUUGCCGAGGCCAGGGGUUUAGUGGCCAUUGAUAGCCAGAGGGAUAAGAUCAUCAGAUUGUUGAUGGAAAGGCAAGGCUGAGCUUAAAGUGGUUCCUAUUGUUGGAUGUGGAGGAUUGGGGAAGACAACUCUUGCAAGGGAAGUGCUUCACAAAAUUGGAGGAGAUUUUCAGUGUCGAGCUGCGGUGUCAGUGUCACGCACCCUCGAUCUCAAGAAGCUUUUGAAGGAUAUGCUCUAUCAAGUUGAUGAAUAUGAGUAUGUCAGUCAGAGAUGUGGGAUGAAGAACAACUAGUGCGUAGGCUCAGACAUGUCUUGAGUGGAAGGAGGUUGAGUUCUAUGUGGUGUUCCCAUCUAGAAUUGGAGGUAUGGAAAGCUUAGAGGAGCUGUCAAAUGUCUACUAUUGCAACAACCAGGUAGAAUUUGUGGAGCAGCUUGGCAAGCUGACCAAACUGAGAAGACUUGAGAUGGGUUAUCAGCAACUUGUGGAGAAGUGUGACGAUAUUUUUGUGUCAUCUCUCAGCAGGUUGGAAAAACAUGGCCUUCAAUCCCUAAGCAUGAACUGUGAAGAUCCCAUGCUGAAUUCGUUGAUGGGCUCAAACUUGACACAUCUCUGAGAGCUAAACAUAGGCAGCAUGAUCUCUCGGGUUCCAAACAGCCUUACAGCUCAUUCCAAUCUCAUUGAACUAUCGAUCAACAUUGCAUGAUGCAGCAGGAAGAUAUCUGGAACCUCAGUGUUUUACCAGCUCUGCUAUGUAAACUUUUGUUAUCAUAUUCCACUAGGGAAGAGCUCAUCAUGGGUGAUAAGGGAUUCCAACAUCUCAAGGAGCUGUCCAUCCGUUGUGAUGGGGGAGGAACAGGUGUCCUGUUUGCACCAUGUGCUAUGCCACAACUCCAACAUCUUUCUUUUGCUUUCAAGGCGAGGGGAGUAGCAUCCAAGGAUAGUGGUGUUGAUACUGGCAUUCAGCAUCUCUCCAGCCUCAGAGAGGUUGAUAUCUUAGUCGGCUGUGACGGCACCACUAGGUACAACGUCAUGGCUGCGGAGGCUGCCUUGAGGAGCGCGGUCAACAUCCUGCCCAAUCGCCCCAACCUUGGAAUCAAGAGGUACUGGGAUUUGAUGGAACCUUAUGGGGGCAGCAACUGGAGGGGGUAGGGAUGGCAAGAAGGCAUAUUGGAAGGUCGGAGAGCACCUCGCUCACAUCGCCGUCCUCACUGGAUACCGUUUGGAACACUAAAUUCUGAUGACAAGCGGGCGGGCUGAUAAAAUCAGAGCUAAUGUUAGCAGUGGGGAUUCCAGAGCAAGUUGAAGCUCAAUCAAUUUCAGGAGCUUCUGACGGGAGGUUCCUACUUCCUGGCAUUUUGUUCCUUACCAAGCCAGGUCAUUAAUCUGUUGAUCAAAGAGAAGACUUGAUGUUAUCGAACUAGCCUUGUUGCUAAAAGGUUUCCUUUUUCUGCCGAUAUGUAACUGGAAUGGCUUUAUGUUCUUCCUUUUUGUACUUCAUGAAAUAUCUGGGACCCUCUUGGUCUCUGCAGUUGAGUUCAUAAGAUCAAUUUCUCGUCUUAACAUGUCAAUACUUUCUAGCAUCGGUACAGAAUUCAUAUGGUCGUAGCCAAAAGGGUGAGAUUGGCAAUGACAUUUUUCAGAAUGUAAUUAAUCGCUCAAAGUCAGUCGGGGUUUGCUUUC